Transfer RNA from Felis catus (domestic cat), 85 nucleotides. It matches the Rfam family "tRNA". From Rfam's summary of the family: Transfer RNA (tRNA) molecules are approximately 80 nucleotides in length. Their secondary structure includes four short double-helical elements and three loops (D, anti-codon, and T loops). The record is from Rfam. NCBI's taxonomy places the organism in Eukaryota, Metazoa, Chordata, Mammalia, Carnivora, Felidae.
GCCUGGUUGGCUCAGUCUGUUGAGAGUCUGACUUCGGCUCAGGUCAUGAUCUCACAGUUUGUGGGUUCGAGCCCCACAUCAGGCU